AUGAGUACACUUUAAAUCCUUUAACGAGUAUCCAUUGGAGGGCAAGUCUGGUGCCAGCAGCCGCGGUAAUUCCAGCUCCAAUAGCGUAUAUUAAAGUUGUUGCGGUUAAAAAGCUCGUAGUUGGACUUGUGUCCCACGCUGUCGGUUCACCGCCCGUCGGUGUUUAACUGACAUGUAUCGUGGGACGUCCUGCCGGUGGUGGCGAGUCGAAAGAUCGCGCCCCUGUGGUACAUGCCGCAGGUCGGUUGCGGUUCGUAGACGGACCCCGAUGAAAUCCUACCGCGGUGCUCUUAAACGAGUGUCGAGGUGGGCCGGCACGUUUACUUUGAACAAAUUAGAGUGCUUAAAGCAGGCCUGAUGCGCCUGAAUACUGUGUGCAUGGAAUAAUGGAAUAGGACCUCGGUUCUAUUUUGUUGGUUUUCGGAACCCGAGGUAAUGAUUAAUAGGGACAGUCGGGGGCAUUCGUAUUGCGACGUUAGAGGUGAAAUUCUUGGAUCGUCGCAAGACGGACCGAAGCGAAAGCAUUUGCCAAGUAUGUUUUCAUUAAUCAAGAACGAAAGUUAGAGGUUCGAAGGCGAUCAGAUACCGCCCUAGUUCUAACCAUAAACGAUGCCAGCUAGCGAUCCGCCGAAGUUCCUCCGAUGACUCGGCGGGCAGCUCCCGGGAAACCAAAGCUUUUGGGUUCCGGGGGAAGUAUGGUUGCAAAGCUGAAACUUAAAGGAAUUGACGGAAGGGCACCACCAGGAGUGGAGCCUGCGGCUUAAUUUGACUCAACACGGGAAACCUCACCAGGCCCGGACACUGGAAGGAUUG
This 813-nucleotide ribosomal RNA is filed under the name Penalva lateralis. RNAcentral's name for it is "SSU rRNA". It matches the Rfam family "Eukaryotic small subunit ribosomal RNA", at positions 514 to 1242 of the family's 1831-position model. The record is from RNAcentral. Lineage: Eukaryota; Metazoa; Arthropoda; Insecta; Orthoptera; Anostostomatidae.